GAUGAAGAACGUAGCGAAAUGCGAUAAGUAGUGUGAAUUGCAGAAUUCAGUGAAUCAUCGAAUCUUUGAACGCACAUUGCGCCCCUUGGUAUUCCAUGGGGCAUGCCUGUUCGAGCGUCAUUUGUACCUUCAAGCUUUGCUUGGUGUUGGGUGUUUGUCCAUUCUCUUGCAGAGGGACUCGCCUUAAAGUAAUUGGCAGCCAGUGUUUUGGUUUUGAAGCGCAGCACAAGUCGCGAUUCAAAGCUAUACGCCCGCUUCCACAAGCCUUCUUCACUUUUGACCUCGGAUCAGGUAGGGAUACCCGCUGAACUUAAGCAUAUCAAUAAGCGGAGA
This 333-nucleotide unclassified non-coding RNA is filed under the name soil metagenome. Its description in RNAcentral is "partial contains 5.8S ribosomal RNA, internal transcribed spacer 2, and large subunit ribosomal RNA". The stretch from base 1 to 120 matches the Rfam family "5.8S ribosomal RNA", at positions 35 to 154 of the family's 154-position model. The record is from RNAcentral.